AAAUUGAAGAGUUUGAUCAUGGCUCAGAUUGAACGCUGGCGGCAGGCCUAACACAUGCAAGUCGAGCGGUAGCACAGAGAGCUUGCUCUCGGGUGACGAGCGGCGGACGGGUGAGUAAUGUCUGGGAAACUGCCUGAUGGAGGGGGAUAACUACUGGAAACGGUAGCUAAUACCGCAUAACGUCGCAAGACCAAAGUGGGGGACCUUCGGGCCUCAUGCCAUCAGAUGUGCCCAGAUGGGAUUAGCUAGUAGGUGGGGUAACGGCUCACCUAGGCGACGAUCCCUAGCUGGUCUGAGAGGAUGACCAGCCACACUGGAACUGAGACACGGUCCAGACUCCUACGGGAGGCAGCAGUGGGGAAUAUUGCACAAUGGGCGCAAGCCUGAUGCAGCCAUGCCGCGUGUGUGAAGAAGGCCUUCGGGUUGUAAAGCACUUUCAGCGGGGAGGAAGGCGUUAAGGUUAAUAACCUCAUCGAUUGACGUUACCCGCAGAAGAAGCACCGGCUAACUCCGUGCCAGCAGCCGCGGUAAUACGGAGGGUGCAAGCGUUAAUCGGAAUUACUGGGCGUAAAGCGCACGCAGGCGGUCUGUCAAGUCGGAUGUGAAAUCCCCGGGCUCAACCUGGGAACUGCAUUCGAAACUGGCAGGCUAGAGUCUUGUAGAGGGGGGUAGAAUUCCAGGUGUAGCGGUGAAAUGCGUAGAGAUCUGGAGGAAUACCGGUGGCGAAGGCGGCCCCCUGGACAAAGACUGACGCUCAGGUGCGAAAGCGUGGGGAGCAAACAGGAUUAGAUACCCUGGUAGUCCACGCCGUAAACGAUGUCGAUUUGGAGGUUGUGCCCUUGAGGCGUGGCUUCCGGAGCUAACGCGUUAAAUCGACCGCCUGGGGAGUACGGCCGCAAGGUUAAAACUCAAAUGAAUUGACGGGGGCCCGCACAAGCGGUGGAGCAUGUGGUUUAAUUCGAUGCAACGCGAAGAACCUUACCUGGUCUUGACAUCCACAGAACUUUCCAGAGAUGGAUUGGUGCCUUCGGGAACUGUGAGACAGGUGCUGCAUGGCUGUCGUCAGCUCGUGUUGUGAAAUGUUGGGUUAAGUCCCGCAACGAGCGCAACCCUUAUCCUUUGUUGCCAGCGGUUUGGCCGGGAACUCAAAGGAGACUGCCAGUGAUAAACUGGAGGAAGGUGGGGAUGACGUCAAGUCAUCAUGGCCCUUACGACCAGGGCUACACACGUGCUACAAUGGCAUAUACAAAGAGAAGCGACCUCGCGAGAGCAAGCGGACCUCAUAAAGUAUGUCGUAGUCCGGAUUGGAGUCUGCAACUCGACUCCAUGAAGUCGGAAUCGCUAGUAAUCGUAGAUCAGAAUGCUACGGUGAAUACGUUCCCGGGCCUUGUACACACCGCCCGUCACACCAUGGGAGUGGGUUGCAAAAGAAGUAGGUAGCUUAACCUUCGGGAGGGCGCUUACCACUUUGUGAUUCAUGACUGGGGUGAAGUCGUAACAAGGUAACCGUAGGGGAACCUGCGGUUGGAUCACCUCCUUA
RNAcentral lists this ribosomal RNA (1540 nucleotides) under Klebsiella pneumoniae. RNAcentral's name for it is "bacterial SSU rRNA". It matches the Rfam family "Bacterial small subunit ribosomal RNA". The record is from RNAcentral. Lineage: Bacteria; Pseudomonadati; Pseudomonadota; Gammaproteobacteria; Enterobacterales; Enterobacteriaceae.